Molecule: unclassified non-coding RNA, 306 nt
Filed under: Hevea brasiliensis (rubber tree)
Lineage: Eukaryota; Viridiplantae; Streptophyta; Magnoliopsida; Malpighiales; Euphorbiaceae
Source: RNAcentral
GAAAAAAGUAAAGUACAUAUGUGACUCUUUUAUCCAAUCUGAUAAAAGCUAUAAAGACGAGUAGCGUGAACCAGUGUCAUAGACGAGACCACCUAGUCAAAGCAAACUAAACGAAAGAUUCAAUACUAUUCUAAGCAGUUAUUCAAUAAUAGCGUGAACCAGUUUCAUAGACGCGACCGCCUGGGUAUUGUACUCUAGGUUCAUAUCCGUGAUCUCUUCCGCUGUUGCCAAGAUAUCGAGCAUUCUCCCUGUAAGAGUCGUAACUAUCAGCAUUAUAGGCUGCUUGUCGUUCUCCUGCUGGAGAGU